This 633-nucleotide ribosomal RNA is filed under the name Malassezia restricta. Its description in RNAcentral is "eukaryotic LSU rRNA". It matches the Rfam family "Eukaryotic large subunit ribosomal RNA", at positions 38 to 657 of the family's 3401-position model. Lineage: Eukaryota; Fungi; Basidiomycota; Malasseziomycetes; Malasseziales; Malasseziaceae. The record is from RNAcentral.
GCAUAUCAAUAAGCGGAGGAAAAGAAACUAACAAGGAUUCCCCCUAGUAACGGCGAGCGAAGCGGGAAGAGCUCAAAUUUGAAAGCUGGCGUCUUCGGCGUCCGCGUUGUAAUCUCGAGACGUGUUUUCCGUGCGGCUCUAUGGACAAGUCCCUUGGAACAGGGCAUCGUAGAGGGUGAAAAUCCCGUACUUGCCAUGGAAGUACCGUGCUUUGUGAUACACGCUCCAAGAGUCGAGUAGUUUGGGAUUGCUGCUCAAAGUGGGUGGUAGACUCCAUCUAAAGCUAAAUAUCGGGGAGAGACCGAUAGCGAACAAGUACCGUGAGGGAAAGAUGAAAAGCACUUUGGAAAGAGAGUUAAAAGUACGUGAAAUUGUCGAAAGGGAAGCACUUGAAGUCAGCCAUGCUGCUUGAGACUCAGCCUGGCUUUUGCUUGGUGUAUUUCUCGGUAGCAAGCCAGCAUUGGUUUGUGUCGUCGGAGAAGCGUAUGGGGAAUGUGGCAUCCUCGGAUGUGUUAUAGCCCUGUGCAGGAUACGACGACGUAGACCAAGGAACGCAGUGUGCCCUCUGGGCGGGUCUUCGGACACCUUCACACUUAGGAUGCUGGCGUAAUGGCUUUAAGUGGCCCGUCUUGA